RNAcentral lists this ribosomal RNA (1016 nucleotides) under Acinetobacter baumannii. RNAcentral's name for it is "bacterial SSU rRNA". It matches the Rfam family "Bacterial small subunit ribosomal RNA", at positions 51 to 1062 of the family's 1533-position model. Lineage: Bacteria; Pseudomonadati; Pseudomonadota; Gammaproteobacteria; Moraxellales; Moraxellaceae. The record is from RNAcentral.
GUACAUGCAAGUCGAGCGGGGGAGGUAGCUUGCUACCGGACCUAGCGGCGGACGGGUGAGUAAUGCUUAGGAAUCUGCCUAUUAGUGGGGGACAACAUCUCGAAAGGGAUGCUAAUACCGCAUACGUCCUACGGGAGAAAGCAGGGGAUCUUCGGACCUUGCGCUAAUAGAUGAGCCUAAGUCGGAUUAGCUAGUUGGUGGGGUAAAGGCCUACCAAGGCGACGAUCUGUAGCGGGUCUGAGAGGAUGAUCCGCCACACUGGGACUGAGACACGGCCCAGACUCCUACGGGAGGCAGCAGUGGGGAAUAUUGGACAAUGGGGGGAACCCUGAUCCAGCCAUGCCGCGUGUGUGAAGAAGGCCUUAUGGUUGUAAAGCACUUUAAGCGAGGAGGAGGCUACUUUAGUUAAUACCUAGAGAUAGUGGACGUUACUCGCAGAAUAAGCACCGGCUAACUCUGUGCCAGCAGCCGCGGUAAUACAGAGGGUGCGAGCGUUAAUCGGAUUUACUGGGCGUAAAGCGUGCGUAGGCGGCUUAUUAAGUCGGAUGUGAAAUCCCCGAGCUUAACUUGGGAAUUGCAUUCGAUACUGGUGAGCUAGAGUAUGGGAGAGGAUGGUAGAAUUCCAGGUGUAGCGGUGAAAUGCGUAGAGAUCUGGAGGAAUACCGAUGGCGAAGGCAGCCAUCUGGCCUAAUACUGACGCUGAGGUACGAAAGCAUGGGGAGCAAACAGGAUUAGAUACCCUGGUAGUCCAUGCCGUAAACGAUGUCUACUAGCCGUUGGGGCCUUUGAGGCUUUAGUGGCGCAGCUAACGCGAUAAGUAGACCGCCUGGGGAGUACGGUCGCAAGACUAAAACUCAAAUGAAUUGACGGGGGCCCGCACAAGCGGUGGAGCAUGUGGUUUAAUUCGAUGCANCGCGAAGAACCUUACCUGGCCUUGACAUACUAGAAACUUUCCAGAGAUGGAUUGGUGCCUUCGGGAAUCUAGAUACAGGUGCUGCAUGGCUGUCGUCAGCUCG